GGGGCAUUAGCUCAGUUGGUAGAGCGCUGCCUUUGCAAGGCAGAUGUCAGGAGUUCGAGUCUCCUAUGCUCCACAA
Molecule: transfer RNA, 76 nt
Filed under: Kitasatospora aureofaciens
Lineage: Bacteria; Bacillati; Actinomycetota; Actinomycetes; Kitasatosporales; Streptomycetaceae
Also listed under: 1 other name
Description: Streptomyces aureofaciens tRNA-Ala
Rfam family: tRNA
About the family: Transfer RNA (tRNA) molecules are approximately 80 nucleotides in length. Their secondary structure includes four short double-helical elements and three loops (D, anti-codon, and T loops).
Source: RNAcentral